AUGGAAAGUGAAAAUGUCCAAGAUGAAGACCUAACAUCGCACAUAAUCAAGACGGAUUUCAUCGUAUCAAAAGACCUUCAUGAUCAGGAUGACAGUCCCUUGAAGUUAGACCACGUUGAUGCCAAGAAGCCGAAAGUCAGCAUGCCAGGAGUACUUUUGGACCCGAAUGAGAGUGGCUCACAAUCGGAAAGAGUCAACGGGAAGGUCUUGGAGAAGGAAGAUGAGGAGGAGAGUUUGGAUCCGGAGCAACUCAGUCAAAGCAGCAGUUCUGAUGACUCAUCUGCCAGCAGCGACGUAAGCAGUAGUAGUAGUGAUGACGAGAGGUCCAAAUCCUUUUUGAACCAGUCAAACACAUCUGUAAACUCUGAUUCACCAGUAAAUCAAUGGUCUAGCUCUUUAACUGGUACAGGCAUCAAAUUGUCUGUGAAAAGUAUUAGGGAUUGUAAUCAACCUGGGGACUCAGAUAAAGUUGAGCCCAGCAAGGUAUUUUGUGACGAUGUAAAAUCCAGUAGACUCUCCGAUGACAGUAGUAGCUCAGACUCGGUUGAGACCCCAAGCAAAUCAGAAAACUGUAACGAUUGGAGUAGUCCAGAGAAAGACGAUGAAAGUGUUAAUUUGAGUCCCAAUUCUAGACGUAGCUCAACAAAUUUUAAAGGUAGCAUAUCUAAUUUCAACACCUCCAUAGACUCAAUACCAAUUGAAAAUUCAAACUCCGGUUUGAGUAAUUAUAACGCAAAUAGAAAUGAGAGACAAAGCAUCGACUCAGUUGGGUCGCAUGUAUCCCUCAAAAGCAAUGACAUUGUCUUUGAAAGGAAGUUGAGUUUGUCGUCUGAUAGUAGUGACUCAGAGAACAGCAGAGACCAACCAGAGCCAGUCCAAAAUGUCUCCCAAAUAAUUGAAAAUACCCUCUGUAAUAGUGUUAAAAGUAAUCUGAAUAAUUCAUUCAUCAGAAGAAUUGAUCCUCAUUUAAAUCAUGAAAAUUCUAAUGAAUUGCUGAAUAGUAGUACCUGUGUUAAGUUCAAUGAUGUAAUUACUGCAAGAUCUCCAGAAAAGACGCUAACUAGUCCACUGAAAGAAGCUUCCCAAGACUCGUGUUUGUCAGACAAAUUCUUCAACAGUACUGAGAAAACUGACAAUUCCAGUGUCAACAACUCUGUCAACUCUGUGCAGAAAGUUAAUUCAUCCCAAGCUCCCAUCAAUCAUUUGUCCAAUAAUGUAGAUCAAAGCCCAAAAAAUUCUAGCAACCAACUCAUGCUGAAUAGUGUAUCUAAAACCAAGAAUAUCUCUAAACCUGAAAAUUCUAUAGAAGAAAUGGAACAAGAGGAUUCUAAUAACUCUGAUCAUACCCAACCUUUAAAAGAUUCUUUCCCAAACUGUACGGGUGGAGAGAGGAAUUUAAAAGAUACAAUUGCUGUAAGAUCUGUUUGUAAUUCCUCUGAAGUAGAUGCUUUUGGUAAUAGAAUAGCUGAUGAAGAUAGUUGUAGUAACUCCAAUUCGAAAGAAAUAUGCCAAUCCAUCAGUAUAGGAGUUAAAACAUCUAACGCUAACAUUUCAAAGGAAGUAAGCAAAACUGACGAGCCUUCCAAAGACUUAGAUCUUAAUUUUGAAUCGCAAGACAUGGGAAUGGAAAUAUCAAGUGACUCAAGUUUAUCUGAUGAUGAGGGAAGUGAGGUAAACAUGUCUCAUUUGAACAAUCUAAGUUCUGGAAACGAAGAUAGUGACCAAGAAAAUGAAGAACUUGCGGUUGAUGUCAUGGCAGUUAUCGGUGGAAGCAAUGAAAAAGAAUCCCUUGGUGCAGGAGUUGAUGUCAUGGAUGUUAUUGGUUGCAAAAUAGAAGAAGAAUCAGGAAGCACUGCUUCUAAUGACUCAAAAACUGUUGGAUUGGAUAGUAAAGAGGAACCCUAUAAAACAACUACUGACAUUAUGAAUGUAAUUGGCUGUAGCAAAGAUCUAGAGUCAGAAGGAACUUCAGUUGACGUCAUGAAAGUCAUUGGUUCGGCAAUGGAAAAUGACUCUGAAGAGUCUCCAACAGACGUGAUUCAUCCCAACACAGGAGGAACAUCGAAGAAGGAGCUAGAUGCUGUCAUGAGGAUAAUAGGUGUCAGCAAUGAAACAGAACCAAUGGAUAUCGAUGUCCUAAAAGUUAUCGGUGGAAGUGAUUUUGUAUUAAGUAAAAAUGAGGAUACACCCUCAAUAUCCAAUAAGGAAAAUACAAGAAUGAGUUUAGAUCAAUCCUACUCAGAUUCAUGCUCAGAACCAAAAGAUGGAGGUGAAACUAGUACAACGGUUAAAAAUAAAGAAAGUGGGUUCUCUAGUCCUGAUGUUGAAAUGUAUUCAAAUUCUUUAGAGAACAAGUUAGAGUCGGAAGAAAGCACCAAACGAUCAGACCUUGGUACUCAUAAGGAGGAGACUAAUGUGGAAAAUUCAAAAGAUUCUGACAUACCCUUAGUUACUGAAAAUUUUGGAACUGAAAGUGAAGCACAAUCUUCAUCACUGACUAAAAGGUUAUCACAAAGUGAUUGCUUAGAAUCCUGUAGUCUGAAGAAGAAAAAGUUGCUUCUAUCAUCCAAGCACAAAUAUAUUUUGCCUGCUCCAAGUCCUGGUCAGAACUGUGGAGAAAUUGGAGAGGAGCAUAUGACGGAGUACGCACAGUAUCUAGGACUCCAACCAUCGUUAAAAUUCAAGUGUUGCAUUUGUGCCCAAGUUGGGUUUCAAAGCUACGCUGAACUAAGAGAACAUCAGAAAAACUGCCAGUCUUCGGAAGCAUGCAGAAGUUCAACAAGUUUGGAGAAGCCCAAUUUUGAAAAAGUGACCUACCCUACCGCAGAUGACAUCAAUCAGAUGAAUUUUCGGAUAUCGAGAAAGGUGUAUCUCUGUUCAGCGUGUGGCACGUACUACGAGAACUGGGAAUGUUUUUACACAUGCAGGAGGUCCACCAUCAAUUUAUUUGCCUCCUGUGCCUUAAGAUGUUCAAAAUGA
RNAcentral lists this long non-coding RNA (2979 nucleotides) under Bemisia tabaci. RNAcentral describes it as "lncRNA ENSASIAIIG004910". Lineage: Eukaryota; Metazoa; Arthropoda; Insecta; Hemiptera; Aleyrodidae. The record is from RNAcentral.